RNAcentral lists this long non-coding RNA (1479 nucleotides) under Homo sapiens (human). Its description in RNAcentral is "HSALNT0245678". Lineage: Eukaryota; Metazoa; Chordata; Mammalia; Primates; Hominidae. The record is from RNAcentral.
UAAACAAGGGGUCAGCAAACUUUGUCUUAAAGGGACAGAUAGUAAAUCUUGUAGGCUUUGUGAGCCACACUGCUGUUGCAGCUUGCAAGCAGCAGUGUACUGUACACAAACAAAUGGGCAUGGCUGUGCUCCAAUGAUGCCAUUUACAAAACAGGCAGAGGGCUGGGUCUGGGCUUCCCCUGCCCUAACCUAAGCCCAGCUGGGCUUCAUUCAGCACGCUGUGUACCACUCUUGAUGGGUAGGCCCACUCUGCCCGCACCUUGAAACCUGACCAGGUCUUCUCCCACCCCAUGAAUGUAAACAUUUUAACAACUAGCCUGACUGUGAAAAGCCUGGAGAAUCCUUCCUACAGGGGACAGUGGUGCAAAGAGAAGCUGGACAGGCGCCCACACCUGGCUGGCACGCACACCUGUGUGCACCGAGGGGGAACUGACGAGCACCUGAAUUGCCGAGCCAGGCUGCAGCUAAUAAAACAGAGAAAGUAAGUGCAUCGGGCACUCCAGACCAAAGCCAUUUGCAGAAUGGAGUCACAGGCUGACAUCCAAGACUUUAGCCAGCUGGCUUCAGGCAGCAGAUGCAAAGGAGAGGUCAUGAGCAGGCCAGGCCCUGGCUAGGCAGUUUCGCCUAACAGAGAAGGAGACAAAACUAACCCGGUGGCCACGUGGCCGAAGGCACAGAGCCGUUGAGUGGCAGCGUGGCAUUUGAAUUCAGGCCGGUGAUGCUGAAGUCCCCAGGUCUUUUUUUUUUUGAUGCCCACAACAAUGUAACUACUAAUAGCCUGUUAUUGAUGCAGGCCUUACCAAUAACAUAAAUAGUUGAUGAACACAUAUUUUGCAUAUGUGUUAUAUACUGUAUUCUUAUCAUAAACGAGCCAAAGAGAAGGAGAUGUUAUUAAGAAAACGGUAAGAAAGAGAAAAUAUAUUUAGCAUUCAUUUAGCAGAAGGGGAUCACCAUAAAGGUCUUCAUCCCUGUUAUCUUCACCUUGAAGAGGCUGAGAAGGAGGAGAAGGAGGGGGUGGUCUUGCUGUCUUAGGGAUGGUGGAGGUAGAAGAGGCAAAGAAGGUGGAAGGGAAGGCAGCCACGCUCGGUGUAAGCUUUAUUGGAAAAAAUCUGCAUUUAUGUGGACUCUCACCAGGCAAACCCGUAUGGUGCUCGAGGGCCAACUGUAUUUCCACUACCGUCAUCCGCCUUGCCCAGGGUGACCUGAUUCACUGACGGGAGGGUUUGCCUUCCCAUGCGCAUCAGUUCAGCCUUCCCCUGAUGUCAUUCUUUUCCUAGUGGCUAACAGGCUGGAUGUGCAGUUGGGGACAGUCAGUAUCUGGGGUCUGGUGAGGACCCUCUUCCUGGUUUGCAAAGCAGGAAGAUGCCAGGCAUCUCUUUCUGUCCUGCUCAGUCAAGUGUGAAUCACAAAGCCUGAGUUCAGAUCCUCGACCUUGGGCAGGUGAACUUCACUCUUAUGAGUCUCAAUUUCUGUACCCAC